GGGAAUGAACACGGCCCGAUUCCUUCGGGAGGCACCGUGGGGAAUUUGGACAAGGGCGCAACCCUAUCCAGCCCUGCCGGGGUGGGAAGAAGGCCUUAAGGUUGUAAAGCACUUUAAGCGGGAGGAGGCUACUUUAGUUAAACCUAGAGAUAGUGGACGUUACUCGCAGAAUAAGCACCGGCUAACUCUGUGCCAGCAGCCGCGGUAAUACAGAGGGUGCAAGCGUUAAUCGGAUUUACUGGGCGUAAAGCGCGCGUAGGCGGCUAAUUAAGUCAAAUGUGAAAUCCCCGAGCUUAACUUGGGAAUUGCAUUCGAUACUGGUUAGCUAGAGUGUGGGAGAGGAUGGUAGAAUUCCAGGUGUAGCGGUGAAAUGCGUAGAGAUCUGGAGGAAUACCGAUGGCGAAGGCAGCCAUCUGGCCUAACACUGACGCUGAGGUGCGAAAGCAUGGGGAGCAAACAGGAUUAGAUACCCUGGUAGUCCAUGCCGUAAACGAUGUCUACUAGCCGUUGGGGCCUUUGAGGCUUUAGUGGCGCAGCUAACGCGAUAAGUAGACCGCCUGGGGAGUACGGUCGCAAGACUAAAACUCAAAUGAAUUGACGGGGGCCCGCACAAGCGGUGGAGCAUGUGGUUUAAUUCGAUGCAACGCGAAGAACCUUACCUGGCCUUGACAUAGUAAGAACUUUCCAGAGAUGGAUUGGUGCCUUCGGGAACUUACAUACAGGUGCUGCAUGGCUGUCGUCAGCUCGUGUCGUGAGAUGUUGGGUUAAGUCCCGCAACGAGCGCAACCCUUUUCCUUAUUUGCCAGCGAGUAAUGUCGGGAACUUUAAGGAUACUGCCAGUGACAAACUGGAGGAAGGCGGGGACGA
Molecule: ribosomal RNA, 867 nt
Filed under: Acinetobacter pittii
Lineage: Bacteria; Pseudomonadati; Pseudomonadota; Gammaproteobacteria; Moraxellales; Moraxellaceae
Description: bacterial SSU rRNA
Rfam family: Bacterial small subunit ribosomal RNA
Source: RNAcentral